This 141-nucleotide small nuclear RNA is filed under the name Echinops telfairi (small Madagascar hedgehog). RNAcentral's name for it is "U1 spliceosomal RNA (ENSETEG00000020563.1)". It matches the Rfam family "U1 spliceosomal RNA", at positions 26 to 166 of the family's 166-position model. Rfam says of the family: U1 is a small nuclear RNA (snRNA) component of the spliceosome (involved in pre-mRNA splicing). Its 5' end forms complementary base pairs with the 5' splice junction, thus defining the 5' donor site of an intron. There are significant differences in sequence and secondary structure between metazoan and yeast U1 snRNAs, the latter being much longer (568 nucleotides as compared to 164 nucleotides in human). Lineage: Eukaryota; Metazoa; Chordata; Mammalia; Afrosoricida; Tenrecidae. The record is from RNAcentral.
AUAAUCACACGAAGGUGGUUUCCCAGGGCGAGGCUCAUGCAUUGCACUCCGGACGUGCUGACCCCUGCGAUUUCCCCAAAGGUGGGACACUUCGGCUGCAUCAUUUGCGGUCCUGGGGGACUGCGUUCGCGCUCUCCCGAG